This 69-nucleotide transfer RNA is filed under the name Alligator mississippiensis (American alligator). It matches the Rfam family "tRNA". From Rfam's summary of the family: Transfer RNA (tRNA) molecules are approximately 80 nucleotides in length. Their secondary structure includes four short double-helical elements and three loops (D, anti-codon, and T loops). Lineage: Eukaryota; Metazoa; Chordata; Crocodylia; Alligatoridae. The record is from Rfam by way of RNAcentral.
GCCCUCUUAGUGCAGCCGGCAGCGUGUCAGUCUCAUAAUCUGAAGGUCCUGAGUUCCUCAGAGAGGGCG